GACGAACGCUGGCGGCGUGCCUAAUACAUGCAAGUAGGACGCACAGUCUAUACCGUAGCUUGCUACACCAUAGGCUGUGAGUUGCGAACGGGUGAGUAACGCGUAGGUAACCUGCCUAUUAGAGGGGGAUAACUAUUGGAAACGAUAGCUAAUACCGCAUAACAGUAUGUAACACAUGUUAGAUGCUUGAAAGAUGCGAUUGCAUCGCUAGUAGAUGGACCUGCGUUGUAUUAGCUAGUAGGUAGGGUAAAGGCCUACCUAGGCAACGAUACAUAGCCGACCUGAGAGGGUGAUCGGCCACACUGGGACUGAGACACGGCCCAGACUCCUACGGGAGGCAGCAGUAGGGAAUCUUCGGCAAUGGGGGGAACCCUGACCGAGCAACGCCGCGUGAGUGAAGAAGGUUUUCGGAUCGUAAAGCUCUGUUGUUAAGGAAGAACGAGUGUGAGAAUGGAAAGUUCAUGCUGUGACG
RNAcentral lists this ribosomal RNA (472 nucleotides) under Streptococcus anginosus. Its description in RNAcentral is "bacterial SSU rRNA". It matches the Rfam family "Bacterial small subunit ribosomal RNA", at positions 28 to 474 of the family's 1533-position model. The record is from RNAcentral. Lineage: Bacteria; Bacillati; Bacillota; Bacilli; Lactobacillales; Streptococcaceae.